ACAACUUUCUCCACUCUCUUCUGACGUUAUUUAUCAGCAGAAAGAACAAAAAAAUCAAAGUUCAUCACUUGAAGAACUUGCACACAAAAACUCAAAAGAAAAGCUAAACUAAAAACGAAAAGCAAAAAAAUUGUUCUUGACGGGUUGUGCUUGAAGUUUGGUGGUGAGGCUUUGGUAUCAUGGAGUUGGCUGCCAUUGGAUCAGAUUUGAAAGGUGUUAAACGACGAAAAAAAGGUGCAGGUUCAAGAGGGUGUUGAAGACAUUCAUUGCAGCUGUUCGGACAUCAGAGUUUUUCAUCCGGACUUGAUAGGUCCCCAUGCAUUCGAGGACUCCUGCCGCUAUGUUUCUAGUUUAGUAAUAGGUUUAGGCUAGUGGAGCAUGUUCCACUAGUAUUUCUUUCCUAUUUUGUUCAGACUUGUGUAAUGGUGUCAUUUUGGCGAUUGUUACUUAAACUAUAAGACUAUUUAUUUCAAGA
Molecule: long non-coding RNA, 475 nt
Organism: Solanum pennellii
Lineage: Eukaryota; Viridiplantae; Streptophyta; Magnoliopsida; Solanales; Solanaceae
Exons: 2
Source: RefSeq, a predicted model, not a curated record